This is a long non-coding RNA of Eptesicus fuscus (big brown bat), 441 nucleotides long. RefSeq lists it as uncharacterized. The transcript is spliced from 3 exons. Lineage: Eukaryota; Metazoa; Chordata; Mammalia; Chiroptera; Vespertilionidae. The record is from RefSeq and is a predicted model, not a curated record.
GGCCUCCUCUAGUGUGCUCUGAAGCUCAGCUCAGUCUGGCCACCCUUCUCUGGGCCUGAACAGCUGUUAUGACCUCUGCUUCCCUGUUUUGACUCCGAGAAAGAAGAUAUCUGCCAAGGACGACUUCUUGUGGCUGACUGGGCCCAAAUGUCAAACUGGAGUCUGGCAGCUAUUGUGGCAGAGGCCUCUAACAGCACACUGCCUGCCAGCGAAAAGCCACAGGCUGAGCGGUCAGCCUGUGCACUCUGCUCCUGCAUCAGGCAACCCUGACUUGAUGUUUAAGAUCACGUUGAAUGAGGUAUCUAUUACAUAUUCUAAAACCCCUCACGUUUUGUGUCCAGAUGAGAAAUUUUUGCAUGCAACAGUAUCCCAACUCCAUCAAGGUCUGGAACAUUCCCACUACCCCGGAAAGUUGCCUAGUGCCUCUGCAGUCAGUCCCAC